RNAcentral lists this ribosomal RNA (429 nucleotides) under Gemmatimonadota bacterium. Its description in RNAcentral is "Gemmatimonadetes bacterium partial 16S ribosomal RNA". It matches the Rfam family "Bacterial small subunit ribosomal RNA", at positions 355 to 776 of the family's 1533-position model. Lineage: Bacteria; Pseudomonadati; Gemmatimonadota. The record is from RNAcentral.
UAGGGAAUCUUCGGCAAUGGACGAAAGUCUGACCGAGCAACGCCGCGUGAGUGAAGAAGGUUUUCGGAUCGUAAAACUCUGUUGUUAGAGAAGAACAAGGACGUUAGUAACUGAACGUCCCCUGACGGUAUCUAACCAGAAAGCCACGGCUAACUACGUGCCAGCAGCCGCGGUAAUACGUAGGUGGCAAGCGUUUUCCGGAUUUAUUGGGCGUAAAGCGAGCGCAGGCGGUUUCUUAAGUCUGAUGUGAAAGCCCCCGGCUCAACCGGGGAGGGUCAUUGGAAACUGGGAGACUUGAGUGGAGAAGAGGAGAGUGGAAUUCCAAGUGUAGCGGUGAAAUGCGUAGAUAAAUGGAGGGACACCAGUGGCGAAGGCGGCGCUCUGGUCUGUAACUGACGCUGAGGCACGAAAGCGUGGGGAGCAAACAGG